Molecule: ribosomal RNA, 468 nt
Filed under: uncultured bacterium
Lineage: Bacteria
Description: partial 16S ribosomal RNA
Rfam family: Bacterial small subunit ribosomal RNA
Source: RNAcentral
GACGAACGCUGGCGGCGUGCCUAACACAUGCAAGUCGAACGGAAAGGCCUUGUUCUUGUGCGGUCUGCGUGUGGCGAACACGUGAGUAUCACGCGUGGAACCUGUGCCUUUCUUUGGGGUAACUCCAGGAAACUGGGGUUCUUACCCGACAUGAACUCUUUCAGCAUGGUGGGGAUUUGUGAGUUUCGGCGUUUGGGGAUGGACUCGCGGCCCAUCAGCUUGUUGGUGGGGUGGUGGAUUACCAGGGCUUUGACGGGUAGCCGGCCUGAGAGGGUGACAGGCCACAUUGGGACUGAGAUACGGCCCAGACUCCUACGGGAGGCAGCAGUGGGGAAUAUUGCACAAUGGGCGGAGGCCUGAUGCAGCAACGCCGCGUGCGGGAUGACGGCCUUCGGGUUGUAAACCGCUUUCGCCUGUGACGAAGCGUGAGUGACGGUAAUGGGUAAAGAAGCACCGGCUAACUACGUG